UAGCGCAAAAUGAUUUUAUACUGUUCCCCAUACCAGUAUUUACGUUCACCUUUUGUUAUUGAAGAGGUUGUAUAUCAGUAUAUCUUUCUCAGAUAGAAUUCUACUGAGCAUUCAAAUUAAUUAACUAUAUUUUUUCCGACUAAAGUAUAAUACUCUUUUUGAUGGAUGAAUCUCCUGCUAAGCUAAGAGCCUUAUACUUUCUUAAUCUUCUUAGGCGUUACAAGUUGUGCAUCAUCUUUCCAGUACUUUCAUUUACUCUGAUUUAUAAGGACUACACACGCACUUUGAGAUAUAAAGCUGAAAAGGCUAAAUUAGCAAAAUUGGCAAUAGAUUUAUAAGAAACAUUUGCACAUUUUAAGUAACUAAAUAUGCUGCCGCAAUUCAUGAAACCUUAUUGGUUGUUGAUUUUUCCCCUUGGCGCUUUUAUGUUUGGAAGGUACAUAGAUGAUUCUGAGACUGUGAGGAUGUGUGAUUUUGCAAACAAGAGUAAGCUGUAUGGGAAAGAACGCAAACCGGGAGAUUACUGUCCUUGGGAUGAUAUUCUUAAAAAAACUGUUCAAUGAUAAUCAUGUCUAAAAUUUUUGGCUUUAGUAUUGUAAUCAUGCAAAUAAAAAGCACAUAAUGUAAA
Parasteatoda tepidariorum (common house spider) is the source of this 628-nucleotide long non-coding RNA. RefSeq lists it as uncharacterized. NCBI's taxonomy places the organism in Eukaryota, Metazoa, Arthropoda, Arachnida, Araneae, Theridiidae. The record is from RefSeq and is a predicted model, not a curated record.